UGUGACUGCGUACCUUUUGUAUAAUGGGUCAGCGACUUAAUUUUAGUAGCAAGGUUAACCGUUUAGGGGAGCCGUAGGGAAACCGAGUCUUAACUGGGCGUACAGUUGCUAGGAUUAGACCCGAAACCAGGUGAUCUAGCCAUGGGCAGGUUGAAGGUUGAGUAACAUCAACUGGAGGACCGAACCGACUAAUGUUGAAAAAUUAGCGGAUGACUUGUGGCUAGGGGUGAAAGGCCAAUCAAACCUGGAGAUAGCUGGUUCUCCCCGAAAGCUAUUUAGGUAGCGCCUCGGACGAAUACUACUGGGGGG
RNAcentral lists this non-coding RNA (309 nucleotides) under Vibrio genomosp. F10. RNAcentral's name for it is "Vibrio sp. F10 Bacterial large subunit ribosomal RNA". It matches the Rfam family "Bacterial large subunit ribosomal RNA", at positions 592 to 903 of the family's 2925-position model. Lineage: Bacteria; Pseudomonadati; Pseudomonadota; Gammaproteobacteria; Vibrionales; Vibrionaceae. The record is from Rfam by way of RNAcentral.